This 2047-nucleotide unclassified non-coding RNA is filed under the name Priapulus caudatus. Its description in RNAcentral is "uncharacterized LOC106816133, transcript variant X2". The record is from RNAcentral. Lineage: Eukaryota; Metazoa; Priapulida; Priapulimorpha; Priapulimorphida; Priapulidae.
GCGACAGUAACGGUGGUGAGCGUCGAUCAUUGAGAUACGGGACAUUUCGUACGCGCGUCAAUAAAUCGCUCGACAUGAAGUUGUUUGUGGUAGCUGUGUGCGCGUGUCUUGCUUUGGUAGCAGCCGCCGUGCCUCAAAAGAGAUUCGGAGUGCCGCUAAGCGCUGAGGAUGAUUGCAACCCCAACAUAAGAGCCAGGAAUUUCUCGGCCGAUCCUAAUGACUGCCAAGUGUUCUACAUCUGCGACAACGGAUGGCCAAAGAUCUCCUUCUGUCCGGGCGUGACCGUCUGGACGCCGGCCGCGGAGCGAUGCUUGAACAGGCACGAGGCCGAGAACGCCGUCUGUCAGUUUGUCUACGUUCCCGAGGCGGUCGAAAUCGGCGUCGGUCUCGCUCCCGUCGAUGAGACGUGCGACUUUCAGUGCGAGGAUAACAGCGGCUGCAUCGCCCGCCGCGCACAGUGCGACGGCAUCUCACACUGCCGCGACGGCUCGGACGAGCGCGACUGUGCACCACCAUGCGAUCUUGAUCGGUGCAGACUACCUGACUGUAAGUGCAGCGAUACUCUCAUUCCCGGCGGACUCCUGGCCAGCCAAGUACCUCAGUUAGUGAUGAUUGGUUGGGAUGAGGCGGUCCGUGUGGAGGAUUACAACCAUCUUUACCAGCAGAUUUUCAAGAAGCUGUCGUCAGCUAGACGCAGGGAGCCGCGCAGGAACGCCGAUGGCUGCCCGAUGACGGGAACCUUCUUCGUUAGCCAUCAGUUCACGGACUACGCUGCCGUGAAUGCUCUAUACGCCGAAGGAAACGAAAUAGCUACUCACUCCGUCAGUAAGCAGCUGCCGGCCGAGUACUGGCGUGACAGCGAACGCCGCGUGUGGCACGAGGAGUUCGUCACAAUGCGUCUGCUGCUCAACCAGCUCGGCAACGUGAAGGCGGAGGACAUUGUCGGCAUGCGCGCCCCCUACCUGCAGACGGCUGGCGACGACACGAUCAUCAUGGCGCAGCGCAACAACUUCCUCUAUGAUUCGUCGUACGCCACCGACAGGAACGACUACCCGAUCUGGCCGUACACGUUCGACUACCGCUCGACCGCCGGCUGCGCCGUGGAGCCGUGCCCGCUGCAGUCGCUGCCAGGCGUCUGGGAGAUCCCGCUAGUUGACUGGAUCGACACGAACAACACACUGUGCGAGAACGUCGACAGCUGCUACUUCCCGGAGACGAAGCAGGAGGCGAUGGAGCUGCUCUUCUCCAACUUCGCGCGCCACUACCAGACGAACAAGGCGCCGUUCGCGAUCAAUCUGCGCGCGCGCUGGUUCCUCGACGACGGCAUGCACAACCUGGAAGCGCUGCAGGAUUUCCUCGAGGGCGUCGAGCGCAUGGACGACGUCUACGUGGUGACGUUCGCGCAGGCGCUGCAGUGGGUGCGCGACCCGACGCCGCUCAACGACAUGGACGGCUUCUUCAACUGCGACUACAGAGACCGGACGCCGAUGUGCGAGCACCCGACCCUCUGCGGAUACUACAACAUCACCUAUCAGCCGAACGACGUCGACCACCAGGGCGACCGCUUCUUCAUGACCUGCAACGAGUGUCCGCCGCAGUACCCGUGGGUGAUGCCCAUCGACACUCUACGCGCUCUCGGUCUGUAGACGUGCUCUGCCAUUGACGUGCUCAGCUUAGUCGAUAAACUCUGCUGCUGCUCUUGGUCUGUAGCUUAGAUGCUCGGUGUGUAGAUUGUGUUUUUGGUGUGUACUCCUCGCUAUGCGCUCGGUCUAUAGCUUGUAUGCUUGGCGUGUAGAUUUUGUAUUCGGUGUGCACGUUUUAUGAUCUUGUGUGUGCGCUAGUUUGGUCUGUAGUUUGUGUGCUUGGCAUGCAGGUUGAAUGUUUACAGCAUGGAUUAUGUUAUACCUUUGCGUGCUUUGCUGCUUUGCGUGUAGGUUAUAGAUCGUUUUACGUAAAACAUUGUAGGCCCGAUCUACAUGCCGCGCGCGUGCGUGCGUGCGUGCGUGCGUGCGUGCGCGUGUGUGUGUGUGUGUGUGUGUGCCUGUGU